Molecule: non-coding RNA, 768 nt
Filed under: Ixodes scapularis (black-legged tick)
Lineage: Eukaryota; Metazoa; Arthropoda; Arachnida; Ixodida; Ixodidae
Description: Eukaryotic large subunit ribosomal RNA
Rfam family: Eukaryotic large subunit ribosomal RNA
Source: Rfam by way of RNAcentral
GAGCCUCAGCUGCGCGGCGUCUGAGGGCUUCGUGCCCAAAGUGCUAUGCUUCGGCCGGCAAAAAACAGUCAACUCAGAACUGGCACGGACCGGGGGAAUCCGACUGUGUAAUUAAAACAAAGCAUUGCGAUGGCCGCUGGUCGGUGUUGACGCAAUGUGAUUUCUGCCCAGUGCUCUGAAUGUCAACGUGAAGAGAUUCAUCAAAGCGCGGGUAAACGGCGGGAGUAACUAUGACUCUCUUGAUUCCCUGACCUCGUGGCGACAAGGGGCGAUCAGGCCGUCAUCUUAGAUGCCCAGGUCGUCGGUUUGCGCAUAUCGCUCGCCGAGGCCCAUAAAAACAAAGUCGUUAAAUACUCCGUGCCCGAGAUUCUGGACCACGUGCGGGGGACCCGUAAAGCGGCUCCUCUGGUGUCCAGCGUCACGCUCUCGUAUAGGGGCGUUUGGGCAAAGGAGAGCGCUGACGUUCUGUGCGACAUGGGACUCGGCCGCCAGGACAUUAAGCUCAUUACGAUCAAGUGCCUGCAGGGGGGGUGUCGUGUUUCUGGCGCCAUCAACGUAUGACCUCCGUGGUUUCACGGGCGAUGACGCGGUGUGAUGAUUGACCAUCCCACGCUGUACUCUCCUCACCCCAUCUGGGUGGGUGUUAUUUGGGUCCCUCUGCCUGCCUGCGAACAGAGGACAAUAAUCAAAAAAAAAAAAAUAGCCAAAUGCCUCGUCAUCUAAUUAGUGACGCGCAUGAAUGGAUUAACGAGAUUCCCACUGUCCCUA